This 310-nucleotide ribosomal RNA is filed under the name uncultured microorganism. RNAcentral's name for it is "bacterial SSU rRNA". It matches the Rfam family "Bacterial small subunit ribosomal RNA", at positions 346 to 645 of the family's 1533-position model. The record is from RNAcentral.
GCGCAGCAGUCGCGAAUCGUGGACAAUGGGCGAAAGCCUGAUCCCGCGACGCCGCGUGGGGGAAGAAGGCCUUCGGGUCGUAAACCCCUGUCAGGGAGGACGAAGGGUAGCUUGGCGAAUAGCCUUGCUACCUUGACGGUACUCCCAGAGGAAGCCCCGGCUAACUACGUGCCAGCAGCCGCGGUAAUACGUAGGGGGCGAGCGUUGCUCGGAUUUACUGGGCGUAAAGGGGGCGUAGGGCGGCCUCGCAAGUCGGUGGUGAAAGCCCUCGGCUCAACCGAGGAAUUGCCACCGAAACUGCGAGGCUUGA